GACGAACGCUGGCGGCGUGCCUAAUACAUGCAAGUCGAGCGGACGGAUGGGAGCUUGCUCCCAGACCGUCAGCGGCGGCCGGGGGAGUAACACGUGGGCAACCUGCCUGUAAGACUGGGAUAACUCCGGGAAACCGGGGCAAAUACCGGAAAACUCUCUCUCUCACAUGAGGGAAAGCGGAAAGAUGGCAUCUCGCUAUCACUUACAGAUGGGCCCGCGGCGCUUGAGCUAGUUGGGGGGGUAACGGCUCACCAAGGUGGCGAUGCGGAGCCGACGUGAGGGGGUGGUCGGCGACACUGGAGCUGAGACGCGCCCCAGGCUCCUACGGGACGCACCAGUAUGGAAUCUGCCGCAGUGGACGAAAGUCUUGCGGAACAGCGCCGCGUGAGUUAUGAAAGCUUUCGGAUCGUAAAACUCUGUUGUCAGGUGAGAACAAGUACCGGAGUAACUGCCGGUAGCUUGACGGUACCUGGCCAGAAAGCCCCGGCUAACUACGUG
RNAcentral lists this ribosomal RNA (498 nucleotides) under uncultured bacterium. Its description in RNAcentral is "partial 16S ribosomal RNA". It matches the Rfam family "Bacterial small subunit ribosomal RNA", at positions 28 to 507 of the family's 1533-position model. The record is from RNAcentral.